AGAAUCAACGCUGGCGGCGUGCCUAACACAUGCAAGUCGAACGAGAAAGUGGAGCAAUCCAUGAGUAAAGUGGCGCACGGGUGAGUAACACGUGACUAACCUACCCUUGAGUGGGGGAUAACCUAGAGAAAUCUGGGCUAAUACCGCAUAAUACCUUCGGGUCAAAGGAGCAAUUCGCUUAAGGAGGAGGUCGCGGCCGAUUAGUUAGUUGGCGGGGUAAUGGCCCACCAAGACUGUGAUCGGUAUCCGGCCUGAGAGGGCGCACGGACACACUGGAACUGAAACACGGUCCAGACUCCUACGGGAGGCAGCAGUGGGGAAUUUUGCGCAAUGGGGGAAACCCUGACGCAGCAACGCCGCGUGGAGGAUGAAGCCCCUUGGGGCGUAAACUCCUUUCGAUCGGGAAGAUAAUGACGGCACCGGAGAGAAGAAGCCCCGGCUAACUUCGUGCCAGCAGCCGC
RNAcentral lists this ribosomal RNA (461 nucleotides) under uncultured bacterium. RNAcentral's name for it is "SSU rRNA". It matches the Rfam family "Bacterial small subunit ribosomal RNA", at positions 26 to 518 of the family's 1533-position model. The record is from RNAcentral.